UAAAAUUUUAUUAUAAAAAUAUUAAAAUAAUAUUAUAUUAAUUUAUAUUAUAUUAUAUAGAUAAAAUGACUGAGUGUAAUUUGAACUAUAUUUUUGUAAAAUUUGAAAAACAUAUUUAAAACUUUAAAAACAUUAUAACUUUUUAUAAUGAAAAAUACAAAUAUAUUAGCAAUAUUAUUGAUUUAAAAUUUAAAAGCAAAACUUUUAAUAUUAA
This 214-nucleotide transfer RNA is filed under the name Pneumocystis jirovecii. RNAcentral describes it as "tRNA-Pseudo(AAT)". The record is from RNAcentral. Lineage: Eukaryota; Fungi; Ascomycota; Pneumocystomycetes; Pneumocystales; Pneumocystaceae.